AGAGUUGAUUAUGGCUCAGGAUUAACGCUGGCGGCAUGCCUAAUACAUGCAAGUCGAAUGGUUAGCUUGCUAACCAUGGCGAACGGGUGAGUAACACGUAGGUAACCUGUCUUCAAGACGAGGAUAACCAUUGGAAACGAUGGAUAAUACUGGAUAGGACAAAUCCCCGCAUGAGGAGAUGUUUAAAGGAGCAAUCCACUUGAUGAGGGGCCUGCGGUGCAUUAGCUAGUUGGUGAGGUAAAGGCCCACCAAGGCGAUGAUGCAUAGCCGGACUGAGAGGUUGAACGGCCACAAUGGAACUGAGAACGGUCCAUACUCCUACGGGAGGCAGCAGUAGGGAAUUUUCGGCAAUGGGCGGAAGCCUGAACCCGAGCAAUGCCGCGUGAACGAUGAAGUAUUUCGGUAUGUAAAGUUCUUUUAUUUGGGAAGAAAAAACAAAUUGACGGUACCAAAUGAAUAAGCUCCGGCUAACUACGUGCCAGCCGCAGC
RNAcentral lists this ribosomal RNA (489 nucleotides) under uncultured bacterium. RNAcentral's name for it is "bacterial SSU rRNA". It matches the Rfam family "Bacterial small subunit ribosomal RNA", at positions 8 to 518 of the family's 1533-position model. The record is from RNAcentral.